Molecule: ribosomal RNA, 430 nt
Filed under: uncultured bacterium
Lineage: Bacteria
Description: partial 16S ribosomal RNA
Rfam family: Bacterial small subunit ribosomal RNA
Source: RNAcentral
AACGAGCGCUGGCGGCAGGCCUAACACAUGCAAGUCGAGCGCGCCUUCGGGUGAGCGGCGGACGGGUGAGUAACGCGUGGGAAUAUGCCCUUCUCUACGGAAUAGUCCUGGGAAACUGGGGGUAAUACCGUAUACGCCCUUUGGGGGAAAGAUUUAUCGGGGAAGGAUUAGCCCGCGUUGGAUUAGGUAGUUGGUGGGGUAAUGGCCUACCAAGCCGACGAUCCAUAGCUGGUUUGAGAGGAUGAUCAGCCACACUGGGACUGAGACACGGCCCAGACUCCUACGGGAGGCAGCAGUGGGGAAUCUUAGACAAUGGGGGCAACCCUGAUCUAGCCAUGCCGCGUGAGUGAUGAAGGCCUUAGGGUUGUAAAGCUCUUUCAGCUGGGAAGAUAAUGACGGUACCAGCAGAAGAAGCCCCGGCUAACUCCGU